This 253-nucleotide ribosomal RNA is filed under the name uncultured bacterium. RNAcentral's name for it is "partial 16S ribosomal RNA". It matches the Rfam family "Bacterial small subunit ribosomal RNA", at positions 524 to 776 of the family's 1533-position model. The record is from RNAcentral.
UACAGAGGGUGCGAGCGUUAAUCGGAAUUACUGGGCGUAAAGCGUGCGUAGACGGUUUCUUAAGUCGGGGGUGAAAUCCUGGAGCUCAACUCCAGAACUGCCUUCGAUACUGGGAAACUUGAGUCCGGGAGAGGUGAGUGGAACUGCGAGUGUAGAGGUGAAAUUCGUAGAUAUUCGCAAGAACACCAGUGGCGAAGGCGGCUGACUGGUCCGGUUCUGACGCUGAGGCGCGAAAGCGUGGGGAGCAAACAGG